AAUGAAUUGUUAUCUAAGUACCUAUUAGAAGUUUGAUUCAAUAAAGAACUUCACUUAAGAUUUAAAAUAAAGUGGUAAGUAAAGUAUGUUUGUUUAAUUUUAAUAUUUAAAAUUGUUUUCCUAUAAGCAUGAUUAACAUUAAUCAGACAUGUACUACUGACAAAAACCAUAAUGCACUGUUCCGAUACAGACAUGGUCAAUUCAUACUAUUUAAACAGUUUGGCAGCAAAUGAUGGGAGAUAUUGAGUUAUGGAUGUUGUCUGUUG
Cinara cedri is the source of this 266-nucleotide non-coding RNA. The record is from the annotation of a GenBank genome assembly. Lineage: Eukaryota; Metazoa; Arthropoda; Insecta; Hemiptera; Aphididae.